ACUUGCGGGGUGCCUAUAAUGCAAGUCGAGCGGACUUGAGGAGGAGCUUGCUUCACUGAUAGUUAGCGGCGGACGGGUGAGUAACACGUAGGCAACCUGCCCUCAAGACUGGGAUAACUACCGGAAACGGUAGCUAAUACCGGAUAAUUAAAUUCGCUGCAUGGCGGAGUUAUGAAAGGCGGAGCAAUCUGUCACUUGAGGAUGGGCCUGCGGCGCAUUAGCUAGUUGGUGAGGUAACGGCUCACCAAGGCGACGAUGCGUAGCCGACCUGAGAGGGUGAACGGCCACACUGGGACUGAGACACGGCCCAGACUCCUACGGGAGGCAGCAGUAGGGAAUCUUCCGCAAUGGGCGAAAGCCUGACGGAGCAACGCCGCGUGAGUGAUGAAGGUUUUCGGAUCGUAAAGCUCUGUUGCCAGGGAAGAACGUCUCAUAGAGUAACUGCUAUGAGAGUGACGGUACCUGAGAAGAAAGCCCCGGCUAACUACGUGCCAGCAGCCGCGGUAAUACGUAGGGGGCAAGCGUUGUCCGGAAUUAUUGGGCGUAAAGCGCGCGCAGGCGGUUCUUUAAGUCUGGUGUUUAAACCCGAGGCUCAACUUCGGGACGCACUGGAAACUGGGGAACUUGAGUGCAGAAGAGGAGAGUGGAAUUCCACGUGUAGCGGUGAAAUGCGUAGAUAUGUGGAGGAACACCAGUGGCGAAGGCGACUCUCUGGGCUGUAACUGACGCUGAGGCGCGAAAGCGUGGGGAGCGAACAGGAUUAGAUACCCUGGUAGUCCCCCGCCGUAACGAUGAAUGCCAGGUGUUAGGGGUUUCCACACCCUUGGUCGCCGAAU
Molecule: ribosomal RNA, 836 nt
Filed under: Paenibacillus lactis
Lineage: Bacteria; Bacillati; Bacillota; Bacilli; Caryophanales; Paenibacillaceae
Description: bacterial SSU rRNA
Rfam family: Bacterial small subunit ribosomal RNA
Source: RNAcentral